This 72-nucleotide ribozyme is filed under the name unclassified sequences. RNAcentral's name for it is "Hairpin ribozyme 1 from viruses-like metatranscriptomes". It matches the Rfam family "Hairpin ribozyme 1 from viruses-like metatranscriptomes". The record is from Rfam by way of RNAcentral.
UAGCGGUCCGGGACAUUACCGGGAAGCUAACCAGGGAAACAUAGACUGACAAAGUCUAGUAAAUUAACUGGU